Molecule: ribosomal RNA, 325 nt
Filed under: uncultured eukaryote
Lineage: Eukaryota
Description: partial 18S ribosomal RNA
Rfam family: Eukaryotic small subunit ribosomal RNA
Source: RNAcentral
CCCUUAGAUGUCCGGGGCCGCACGCGCGCUACACUGAUGCAUUCAACGAGUUUUACCUUGGCCGAGAGGCCUGGGCAAUCUUUUAAACCUGCAUCGUGAUAGGGAUAGAUUAUUGCAAUUAUUAAUCUUGAACGAGGAAUUCCUAGUAAACGCAAAUCAUCAAUUUGCAUUGAUUACGUCCCUGCCCUUUGUACACACCGCCCGUCGCACCUACCGAUUGAAUGGUCCGGUGAAGCCUCGGGAUUGUGGCCAGUUCACUUUAUUGGGAGUUGGCUGUGAGAACUUGUCUAAACCUUAUCAUUUAGAGGAAGGUGAAGUCGUAACA